GACGGCCUGCUGGUAAAGUUGGGCAUUUUUCGAUACGUUGUUCAGCUCAGACUCCUUCUUUUUAAUGUCGGAGAGCAGGUUCUGUGACAACACAGCAAUCAACAUUUUAGACCGAGAAACAUAACAGGACCAUUAGAGGUAGAGGACUGACUAUAGAAACAUAACAGGACCAUUAGAGGUAGAGGACUGACUAUAGAAACAUAACAGGACCAUUAGAGGUAGAGGACUGACUAUAGAAACAUAACAGGACCAUUAGAGGUAGAGGACUGACUAUAGAAACAUAACAGGACCAUUAGAGGUAGAGGACUGACUAUAGAAACAUAACAGGACCAUUAGAGGUAGAGGACUGACUAUAGAAACAUAACAGGACCAUUAGAGGUAGAGGACUGACUAUAGAAACAUAACAGGACCAUUAGAGGUAGAGGACUGACUAUAGAAACAUAACAGGACCAUUAGAGGUAGAGGACUGACUAUAGAAACAUAACAGGACCAUUAGAGGUAGAGGACUGACUAUAGAAACAUAACAGGACCAUUAGAGGUAGAGGACUGACUAUAGAAACAUAACAGGACCAUUAGAGGUAGAGGACUGACUAUAGAAACAUAACAGGACCAUUAGAGGUAGAGGACUGACUAUAGAAACAUAACAGGACAUUAGAGGUAGAGGA
Oncorhynchus keta (chum salmon) is the source of this 665-nucleotide long non-coding RNA. RefSeq lists it as uncharacterized. The transcript is spliced from 3 exons. The record is from RefSeq and is a predicted model, not a curated record. NCBI's taxonomy places the organism in Eukaryota, Metazoa, Chordata, Actinopteri, Salmoniformes, Salmonidae.